CGCGGCCUAUCAGCUUGUUGGAGAGGUAACGGCUCACCAAGGCAUCGACGGGUAGCUGGUCUGAGAGGAUGAUCAGCCACACUGGGACUGAGACACGGCCCAGACUCCUACGGGAGGCAGCAGUGGGGAAUCUUGCACAAUGGGCGCAAGCCUGAUGCAGCAACGCCGCGUGCGGGAAGAAGGCCCUAGGGUUGUAAACCGCUUUCAGCAGGGAAGAAACUGACGGUACCUGCAGAAGAAGGUGCGGCCAACUACGUGCCAGCAGCCGCGGUGACACGUAGGCACCAAGCGUUAUCCGGAUUUAUUGGGCGUAAAGAGCUCGUAGGCGGUUCGGUUAGUCGGGUGUGUAAACUUGAGGCUCAACCUCAAGAGGCCACCCGAUACUGCUGUGACUAGAGUGCGGUAGGGGAGCGGGGAAUUCAUGGUGUAGCGGUGAAAUGCGCAGAUAUCAUGAGGAACACCAGUGGCGAAGGCGCCGCUCUGGGCCGUAACUGACGCUGAGGAGCGAAAGCGUGGGUAGCAAACAGGAUUAGAUACCCUGGUAGUCCACGCCGUAAACGUUGGGCACUAGGUGUGGGUCUCAACCAACGAGAUCCGCGCCGUCGCUAACGCAUUAAGUGCCCCGCCUGGGGAGUACGG
RNAcentral lists this ribosomal RNA (639 nucleotides) under uncultured Ilumatobacter sp. RNAcentral's name for it is "bacterial SSU rRNA". It matches the Rfam family "Bacterial small subunit ribosomal RNA", at positions 232 to 885 of the family's 1533-position model. Lineage: Bacteria; Bacillati; Actinomycetota; Acidimicrobiia; Acidimicrobiales; Ilumatobacteraceae. The record is from RNAcentral.